Molecule: long non-coding RNA, 629 nt
Filed under: Mus spretus (western wild mouse)
Lineage: Eukaryota; Metazoa; Chordata; Mammalia; Rodentia; Muridae
Description: lncRNA (ENSMSPG00010018610.1)
Source: RNAcentral
CUGAGACUGAGGUUUUUUGGGCCAGGAGUAAAAGGACUUGGUUUGUACUUGAUUGCAUCCUGUGGAUGCUUGCCUACCAACUGACUCAUCCCGACGUGCCAAAGGUCCUGGCUUUCCCCUGUGUGGGUAAGGGGAGAAGAGAGUUCUAAUGAGCGUGGCUGGCAUCGCUUCAUGAUUACAUUCUGGGAAAGAUCUUGCCUGUUAACCGCUAGAGAAGGAGGGACGAUGCAGACAAUGAAGACUAUAGCAGACUGAAUUACCCUCUGAGAUGAGGACUUUGCUAUUGCCAUUGCAGAACCACUGGUGGAAGUUGUUGUUAAACAGUGGGUCUUGCAUGCAAGCUCUACAGUUAUGCACAGUAUUUCCAUGACAUCCCAAGCCAUGAGGUCCAUGCUGCCAUAUCCCCCUGUUUAACAAGUGUGGAAACUGAUAAUGGACUCACAAUUGCUGAUGUAUAGGUUCUAAUGUUUUCUAUUGUGGACACGGGACACCCAGACUGAGGUUCGUGGAUUUUUGAAAUUUCUAAUAAUAAGAUAUUUGUGACUUAAUUUUGAGUGGAUGAACUUGAUUUGUUGUGGUUAUAUUGUUCAGUUAGUAUGUUAGUAAAUAUAUAAAUAAAUGUAAAAGGG